This 491-nucleotide ribosomal RNA is filed under the name uncultured bacterium. RNAcentral describes it as "partial 16S ribosomal RNA". It matches the Rfam family "Bacterial small subunit ribosomal RNA", at positions 29 to 506 of the family's 1533-position model. The record is from RNAcentral.
AGUGAACGCUGGCGGUAGGCCUAACACAUGCAAGUCGAACGGCAGCACAGUAAGAGCUUGCUCUUACGGGUGGCGAGUGGCGGACGGGUGAGGAAUACAUCGGAAUCUACUUUUUCGUGGGGGAUAACGUAGGGAAACUUACGCUAAUACCGCAUACGACCUACGGGUGAAAGCAGCGGAUCUUCGGACCUUGCGCGAUUGAAUGAGCCGAUGUCGGAGUAGCUAGUUGGCGGGGUAAAGGCCCACCAAGGCGACGAUCCGUAGCUGGUCUGAGAGGAUGAUCAGCCACACUGGAACUGAGACACGGUCCAGACUCCUACGGGAGGCAGCAGUGGGGAAUAUUGGACAAUGGGCGCAAGCCUGAUCCAGCCAUACCGCGUGGGUGAAGAAGGCCUUCGGGUUGUAAAGCCCUUUUGUUGGGAAAGAAAAGCAGCAGGUUAAUACCCCGCUGUUCUGACGGUACCCAAAGAAUAAGCACCGGCUAACUUCGU